This 500-nucleotide ribosomal RNA is filed under the name Staphylococcus hominis. RNAcentral describes it as "bacterial SSU rRNA". It matches the Rfam family "Bacterial small subunit ribosomal RNA", at positions 46 to 529 of the family's 1533-position model. The record is from RNAcentral. Lineage: Bacteria; Bacillati; Bacillota; Bacilli; Caryophanales; Staphylococcaceae.
GCUAAUACAUGCAAGUCGAGCGAACAGACGAGGAGCUUGCUCCUUUGACGUUAGCGGCGGACGGGUGAGUAACACGUGGGUAACCUACCUAUAAGACUGGGAUAACUUCGGGAAACCGGAGCUAAUACCGGAUAAUAUUUCGAACCGCAUGGUUCGAUAGUGAAAGAUGGCUCUGCUAUCACUUAUAGAUGGACCUGCGCCGUAUUAGCUAGUUGGUAAGGUAACGGCUUACCAAGGCAACGAUACGUAGCCGACCUGAGAGGGUGAUCGGCCACACUGGAACUGAGACACGGUCCAGACUCCUACGGGAGGCAGCAGUAGGGAAUCUUCCGCAAUGGGCGAAAGCCUGACGGAGCAACGCCGCGUGAGUGAUGAAGGUCUUCGGAUCGUAAAACUCUGUUAUUAGGGAAGAACAAACGUGUAAGUAACUGUGCACGUCUUGACGGUACCUAAUCAGAAAGCCACGGCUAACUACGUGCCAGCAGCCGCGGUAAUACAUA